Molecule: non-coding RNA, 78 nt
Organism: Podarcis lilfordi (Lilford's wall lizard)
Lineage: Eukaryota; Metazoa; Chordata; Lepidosauria; Squamata; Lacertidae
Source: the annotation of a GenBank genome assembly
GUCAGCUGGAUAAGCUCCGUUGGUUAGAGUGUGGUGCUGAUAAUGUCAAGGUUGUGGGUUCAAUCCCCGUUUGGGACA